RNAcentral lists this ribosomal RNA (342 nucleotides) under Citrobacter freundii. RNAcentral describes it as "partial 23S ribosomal RNA". It matches the Rfam family "Bacterial large subunit ribosomal RNA", at positions 1422 to 1765 of the family's 2925-position model. RNAcentral also lists the same sequence under 1 other name. Lineage: Bacteria; Pseudomonadati; Pseudomonadota; Gammaproteobacteria; Enterobacterales; Enterobacteriaceae. The record is from RNAcentral.
AAACAGGUUAAUAUUCCUGUACUUGGUGUUACUGCGAAGGGGGGACGGAGAAGGCUAUGUUAGCCGGGCGACGGUUGUCCCGGUUUAAGCAUGUAGGCGGAGGUUCCAGGUAAAUCCGGUACCUUUUAACGCUGAGGUGUGAUGACGAGGCACUACGGUGCUGAAGUAACAAAUGCCCUGCUUCCAGGAAAAGCCUCUAAGCAUCAGGUAACACGAAAUCGUACCCCAAACCGACACAGGUGGUCAGGUAGAGAAUACCAAGGCGCUUGAGAGAACUCGGGUGAAGGAACUAGGCAAAAUGGUGCCGUAACUUCGGGAGAAGGCACGCUGAUAUGUAGGUGA